Molecule: ribosomal RNA, 496 nt
Filed under: uncultured bacterium
Lineage: Bacteria
Description: partial 16S ribosomal RNA
Rfam family: Bacterial small subunit ribosomal RNA
Source: RNAcentral
AUUGAACGCUGGCGGAAUGCUUUACACAUGCAAGUCGAACGGUAGAGGGGGCAACCCCUCGAGAGUGGCGAACGGGUGAGUAAUAUAUCGGAACGUGCCCAGUCGUGGGGGAUAACGUAGCGAAAGUUACGCUGAUACCGCAUACGAUCUAAGGAUGAAAGCGGGGGAUCGCAAGACCUCGCGCGAUUGGAGCGGCCGAUAUCAGAUUAGGUAGUUGGUGGGGUAAAGGCUCACCAAGCCAACGAUCUGUAGCUGGUCUGAGAGGAUGAUCAGCCACACUGGGACUGAGACACGGCCCAGACUCCUACGGGAGGCAGCAGUGGGGAAUUUUGGACAAUGGACGCAAGUCUGAUUCAGCCAUUCCGCGUGCAGGAUGAAGACCCUCGGGUUGUAAACUGCUUUUGUACAGAACGAAAAGGCUCUGGUUAAUACCUAGGGCUCAUGACGGUACUGUAAGAAUAAGCACCGGCUAACUACGUGCCAGCCGCCGCCGUAA